RNAcentral lists this ribosomal RNA (730 nucleotides) under uncultured bacterium. Its description in RNAcentral is "bacterial SSU rRNA". It matches the Rfam family "Bacterial small subunit ribosomal RNA", at positions 771 to 1501 of the family's 1533-position model. The record is from RNAcentral.
AACAGGAUUAGAUACCCUGGUAGUCCACGCCGUAAACGAUGUCGACUUGGAGGUUGUUCCCUUGAGGAGUGGCUUCCGGAGCUAACGCGUUAAGUCGACCGCCUGGGGAGUACGGCCGCAAGGUUAAAACUCAAAUGAAUUGACGGGGGCCCGCACAAGCGGUGGAGCAUGUGGUUUAAUUCGAUGCAACGCGAAGAACCUUACCUACUCUUGACAUCCAGAGAACUUAGCAGAGAUGCUUUGGUGCCUUCGGGAACUCUGAGACAGGUGCUGCAUGGCUGUCGUCAGCUCGUGUUGUGAAAUGUUGGGUUAAGUCCCGCAACGAGCGCAACCCUUAUCCUUUGUUGCCAGCGAUUCGGUCGGGAACUCAAAGGAGACUGCCGGUGAUAAACCGGAGGAAGGUGGGGAUGACGUCAAGUCAUCAUGGCCCUUACGAGUAGGGCUACACACGUGCUACAAUGGCGCAUACAAAGAGAGGCGACCUCGCGAGAGCAAGCGGACCCCACAAAGUGCGUCGUAGUCCGGAUCGGAGUCUGCAACUCGACUCCGUGAAGUCGGAAUCGCUAGUAAUCGUGGAUCAGAAUGCCACGGUGAAUACGUUCCCGGGCCUUGUACACACCGCCCGUCACACCAUGGGAGUGGGUUGCAAAAGAAGUAGGUAGCUUAACCUUCGGGAGGGCGCUUACCACUUUGUGAUUCAUGACUGGGGUGAAGUCGUAACAAGGUAACC